RNAcentral lists this ribosomal RNA (253 nucleotides) under uncultured bacterium. Its description in RNAcentral is "partial 16S ribosomal RNA". It matches the Rfam family "Bacterial small subunit ribosomal RNA", at positions 524 to 776 of the family's 1533-position model. The record is from RNAcentral.
UACGGGGGGUGCAAGCGUUGUUCGGAAUUAUUGGGCGUAAAGGGCGCGUAGGCGGCCAUUCAAGUCGGACGUGAAAUCCCUCGGCUCAACCGGGGAACUGCGUCCGAUACUGUUUGGCUCGAGUCCUGGAGAGGGUAGUGGAAUUCCCAGUGUAGCGGUGAAAUGCGUAGAUACUGGGAGGAACACCGGUGGCGAAGGCGGCUACCUGGACAGGUACUGACGCUGAGGCGCGAAAGCUAGGGGAGCAAACAGG